RNAcentral lists this ribosomal RNA (253 nucleotides) under uncultured bacterium. RNAcentral describes it as "partial 16S ribosomal RNA". It matches the Rfam family "Bacterial small subunit ribosomal RNA", at positions 524 to 776 of the family's 1533-position model. The record is from RNAcentral.
UACGAAGGGGGCUAGCGUUGCUCGGAAUGACUGGGCGUAAAGGGCGCGUAGGCGGAUGGUACAGUCAGAUGUGAAAUUCCUGGGCUCAACCUGGGGGCUGCAUUUGAUACGUGCUGUCUGGAGUGUGGAAGAGGGUCGUGGAAUUCCCAGUGUAGAGGUGAAAUUCGUAGAUAUUGGGAAGAACACCGGUGGCGAAGGCGGCGACCUGGUCCAUUACUGACGCUGAGGCGCGAAAGCGUGGGGAGCAAACAGG